CUCCUGGAUUCAGCGGCGGACGGGUGAGUAAUGCCUAGGAAUCUGCCUGGUAGUGGGGGAUAACGUCCGGAAACGGGCGCUAAUACCGCAUACGUCCUGAGGGAGAAAGUGGGGGAUCUUCGGACCUCACGCUAUCAGAUGAGCCUAGGUCGGAUUAGCUAGUUGGUGGGGUAAAGGCCUACCAAGGCGACGAUCCGUAACUGGUCUGAGAGGAUGAUCAGUCACACUGGAACUGAGACACGGUCCAGACUCCUACGGGAGGCAGCAGUGGGGAAUAUUGGACAAUGGGCGAAAGCCUGAUCCAGCCAUGCCGCGUGUGUGAAGAAGGUCUUCGGAUUGUAAAGCACUUUAAGUUGGGAGGAAGGGCAGUAAGUUAAUACCUUGCUGUUUUGACGUUACCAACAGAAUAAGCACCGGCUAACUUCGUGCCAGCAGCCGCGGUAAUACGAAGGGUGCAAGCGUUAAUCGGAAUUACUGGGCG
Molecule: ribosomal RNA, 481 nt
Filed under: Pseudomonas aeruginosa
Lineage: Bacteria; Pseudomonadati; Pseudomonadota; Gammaproteobacteria; Pseudomonadales; Pseudomonadaceae
Description: bacterial SSU rRNA
Rfam family: Bacterial small subunit ribosomal RNA
Source: RNAcentral